GUCCACGCUGUAAACGAUGUCAACUAGCCGUUGGGCCUAUAUACAGGCUUAGUGGCGCAGCUAACGCAUUAAGUUGACCGCCUGGGGAGUACGGCCGCAAGGUUAAACUCAAAUGAAUUGGACGGGGCCCGCACAAGCGGUGGAGCAUGUGGUUUAAUUCGAUGCAACGCGAAGAACCUUACCUACCCUUGACAUCCAGAGAAUCUGUUAGAGAUAGUAGAGUGCCUUCGGGAACUCUGAGACAGGUGCUGCAUGGCUGUCGU
RNAcentral lists this ribosomal RNA (263 nucleotides) under uncultured bacterium. Its description in RNAcentral is "partial 16S ribosomal RNA". It matches the Rfam family "Bacterial small subunit ribosomal RNA", at positions 793 to 1055 of the family's 1533-position model. The record is from RNAcentral.